RNAcentral lists this ribosomal RNA (863 nucleotides) under uncultured bacterium. RNAcentral describes it as "bacterial SSU rRNA". It matches the Rfam family "Bacterial small subunit ribosomal RNA", at positions 71 to 918 of the family's 1533-position model. The record is from RNAcentral.
ACGAGGAGCUUGCUCCUUUGAUGUUAGCGGCGGACGGGUGAGUAACACGUAGGUAACCUACCUAUAAGACUGGGAUAACUUCGGGAAACCGGAGCUAAUACCGGAUAAUAUUUCGAACCGCAUGGUUCGAUAGUGAAAGAUGGCUUUGCUAUCACUUAUAGAUGGACCUGCGCCGUAUUAGCUAGUUGGUAAGGUAACGGCUUACCAAGGCAACGAUACGUAGCCGACCUGAGAGGGUGAUCGGCCACACUGGAACUGAGACACGGUCCAGACUCCUACGGGAGGCAGCAGUAGGGAAUCUUCCGCAAUGGGCGAAAGCCUGACGGAGCAACGCCGCGUGAGUGAUGAAGGUCUUCGGAUCGUAAAACUCUGUUAUUAGGGAAGAACAAACGUGUAAGUAACUGUGCACGUCUUGACGGUACCUAAUCAGAAAGCCACGGCUAACUACGUGCCAGCAGCCGCGGUAAUACGUAGGUGGCAAGCGUUAUCCGGAAUUAUUGGGCGUAAAGCGCGCGUAGGCGGUUUUUUAAGUCUGAUGUGAAAGCCCACGGCUCAACCGUGGAGGGUCAUUGGAAACUGGAAAACUUGAGUGCAGAAGAGGAAAGUGGAAUUCCAUGUGUAGCGGUGAAAUGCGCAGAGAUAUGGAGGAACACCAGUGGCGAAGGCGACUUUCUGGCCUGUAACUGACGCUGAUGUGCGAAAGCGUGGGGAUCAAACAGGAUUAGAUACCCUGGUAGUCCACGCCGUAAACGAUGAGUGCUAAGUGUUAGGGGGUUUCCGCCCCUUAGUGCUGCAGCUAACGCAUUAAGCACUCCGCCUGGGGAGUACGACCGCAAGGUUGAAACUCAAAGGAAUUGACGGGG